UGUGGGAGCGGGCUUGCCCGCGAUGGCGGUGGUUCAGCCAAUGAUAUGUCGACUGAUGUUCCGCUAUCGCGGGCAAGCCCGCUCCCACA
Molecule: non-coding RNA, 89 nt
Filed under: Pseudomonas tolaasii NCPPB 2192
Lineage: Bacteria; Pseudomonadati; Pseudomonadota; Gammaproteobacteria; Pseudomonadales; Pseudomonadaceae
Source: RNAcentral